This 499-nucleotide ribosomal RNA is filed under the name uncultured bacterium. Its description in RNAcentral is "partial 16S ribosomal RNA". It matches the Rfam family "Bacterial small subunit ribosomal RNA", at positions 28 to 507 of the family's 1533-position model. The record is from RNAcentral.
GACGAACGCUGGCGGCGUGCCUAAUACAUGCAAGUCGAGCGAAGUUUUUCUGGUGCUUGCACUAGAAAAACUUAGCGGCGAACGGGUGAGUAACACGUAAAGAACCUGCCUCAUAGACUGGGACAACUAUUGGAAACGAUAGCUAAUACCGGAUAACAGUAUUUCUCGCAUGAGAGAUAUUUAAAAGUUGGUUAUGCUAACACUAUGAGAUGGCUUUGCGGUGCAUUAGCUAGUUGGUGGGGUAAAGGCCCACCAAGGCGACGAUGCAUAGCCGACCUGAGAGGGUGAUCGGCCGCACUGGGACUGAGACACGGCCCAGACUCCUACGGGAGGCAGCAGUAGGGAAUCUUCCGCAAUGGGCGAAAGCCUGACGGAGCAACGCCGCGUGAGUGAAGAAGGAUUUCGGUUCGUAAAGCUCUGUUGUUAGGGAAGAAUGGAUAUGUAGUAACUAUACAUGUAAGAGACGGUACCUAACCAGAAAGCCACGGCUAACUACGUG